AUGAAGGAUUUAGGAGUGGCUGAUGUCAUUCUGAACAUCAAGUUGUUGAGGGACGAUGAUGGUGGGAUUACAUUGCUUCAAUCUCACUAUGUGGAAAAGAUCUUGAGUCGCUUUGGCUACAGUGACUGCAAGCCCUCUCCAACACCAUAUGAUGCUAGUGUGUUGAUUCAAAAGAAUCGAAGAAUUGCUAGAGACCAAUUGAAGUAUUCUCAGAUUAUUGGCUCGCUUAUGUACUUAGCUAGUGCUACAAGACCCGACAUCUCUUUUGCUGUUAGCAAACUGAGUCGGUUUGUUUCAAAACCAGGAGAUGUGCAUUGGAUAGCUCUAGAGAAAGUUUUGCGUUAUUUGAAAGGCACUACGAAUUAUGGAAUUCACUACACUGGGCACCCAAAGGUGCUUGAAGGGUAUAGUGACUCAAACUGGAUCUCAGAUGCUGAUGAGAUAAAGGCCACGAGUGGUUAUGAAAGUGAGCAACUCAAAGGAUAA
RNAcentral lists this ribosomal RNA (486 nucleotides) under Triticum aestivum (bread wheat). RNAcentral's name for it is "partial small subunit ribosomal RNA". Lineage: Eukaryota; Viridiplantae; Streptophyta; Magnoliopsida; Poales; Poaceae. The record is from RNAcentral.